UUCCGCGGUAGCAGUGAAAUGCGUAGAUAUGCGGAGGAACCCCGAUGGCGAAGGCAGCCUCCUGGGAUAACACUGACGCUCAUGCACGAAAGCGUGGGGAGCAAACAGGAUUAGAUACCNUGGUAGUCCACGCCCUAAACGAUGUCAACUAGCUGUUGGGGCCUUCGGGCCUUGGUAGCGCAGCUAACGCGUGAAGUUGACCGCCUGGGGAGUACGGUCGCAAGAUUAAAACUCAAAGGAAUUGACGGGGACCCGCACAAGCGGUGGAUGAUGUGGAUUAAUUCGAUGCAACGCGAAAAACCUUACCUACCCUUGACAUGUCUGGAAUGCCGAAGAGAUUUGGCAGUGCUCGCAAGAGAACCGGAACACAGGUGCUGCAUGGCUGUCGUCAGCUCGUGUCGUGAGAUGUUGGGUUAAGUCCCGCAACGAGCGCAACCCUUGUCAUUAGUUGCUACGAAAGGGCACUCUAAUGAGACUGCCGGUGACAAACCGGAGGAAGGUGGGGAUGACGUCAAGUCCUCAUGGCCCUUAUGGGUAGGGCUUCACACGUCAUACAAUGGUCGGGACAGAGGGUCGCCAACCCGCGAGGGGGAGCCAAUCCCAGAAACCCGAUCGUAGUCCGGAUCGCAGUCUGCAACUCGACUGCGUGAAGUCGGAAUCGCUAGUAAUCGCGGAUCAGCAUGUCGCGGUGAAUACGUUCCCGGGUCUUGUACACACCGCCCGUCACACCAUGGGAGUGGGUUU
Molecule: ribosomal RNA, 744 nt
Filed under: Alcaligenaceae bacterium SM6
Lineage: Bacteria; Pseudomonadati; Pseudomonadota; Betaproteobacteria; Burkholderiales; Alcaligenaceae
Description: bacterial SSU rRNA
Rfam family: Bacterial small subunit ribosomal RNA
Source: RNAcentral